RNAcentral lists this ribosomal RNA (207 nucleotides) under uncultured bacterium. RNAcentral describes it as "partial 16S ribosomal RNA". It matches the Rfam family "Bacterial small subunit ribosomal RNA", at positions 568 to 774 of the family's 1533-position model. The record is from RNAcentral.
UGCGCAGGCGGUUUUGUAAGACAGAGGUGAAAUCCCCGGGCUUAACCUGGGAACUGCCUUUGUGACUGCAAAGCUUGAGUGCGGCAGAGGGGGAUGGAAUUCCGCGUGUAGCAGUGAAAUGCGUAGAUAUGCGGAGGAACACCGAUGGCGAAGGCAAUCCCCUGGGCCUGCACUGACGCUCAUGCACGAAAGCGUGGGGAGCAAACA